RNAcentral lists this signal recognition particle RNA (227 nucleotides) under Chlorocebus sabaeus (green monkey). RNAcentral describes it as "Metazoan signal recognition particle RNA". It matches the Rfam family "Metazoan signal recognition particle RNA". From Rfam's summary of the family: The signal recognition particle (SRP) is a universally conserved ribonucleoprotein. The record is from Rfam by way of RNAcentral. Lineage: Eukaryota; Metazoa; Chordata; Mammalia; Primates; Cercopithecidae.
GCCGGGCGAGGUGGCGGGCGCCUGUAGUCCCAGUUACUCGGGAGGCUGAGGCAGGAGAAUGGCGUAAACCCAGGAGGCGGAGCUGGCAGUGAGCUGAGAUCGGGCCACUGCCCUCCCGCCUGGGCGGGAUGNNNNNNNNNNCAUCCCGCCCAGGCGGGAGGGCAGUGGCCCGAUCUCAGCUCACUGCCAGCUCCGCCUCCUGGGUUUACGCCAUUCUCCUGCCUCAG